GACGAACGCUGCGGCGUGCUUAACACAUGCAAGUCGAACGGAAAGGCCCUGCUUUUGUGGGGUGCUCGCGUGGCGAACGGGUGAGUAACACGUGAGUAACCUGCCCUUGACUUUGGGAUAACUUCAGGAAACUGGGGCUAAUACCGGAUAGGAGCUCCUGCUGCAUGGUGGGGGUUGGAAAGUUUCGGCGGUUGGGGAUGGACUCGCGGCUUAUCAGCUUGUUGGUGGGGUAGUGGCUUACCAAGGCUUUGACGGGUAGCCGGCCUGAGAGGGUGACCGGCCACAUUGGGACUGAGAUACGGCCCAGACUCCUACGGGAGGCAGCAGUGGGGAAUAUUGCACAAUGGGCGGAAGCCUGAUGCAGCAACGCCGCGUGCGGGAUGACGGCCUUCGGGUUGUAAACCGCUUUCGCCUGUAACGAAGCGUGAGUGACGGUAAUGGGUAAAGAAGCACCGGCUAACUACGUG
RNAcentral lists this ribosomal RNA (467 nucleotides) under uncultured bacterium. RNAcentral describes it as "partial 16S ribosomal RNA". It matches the Rfam family "Bacterial small subunit ribosomal RNA", at positions 28 to 507 of the family's 1533-position model. The record is from RNAcentral.